GGGUGGUUGGGCAUAGUUACUGCUGGCAACCUCUCCACAUCCACCCAACCCCCACCCCCAGGCACCGGCAGCCAUGUGGUCGGAAGGGGCCUGUGGCGCAAUGGCCCGGAAGGCAGUGACACCAUGUUCCGUUCCUAAGAACCGUUCAGCCCCUUGGGGAAGACGCUGCCGGGGACAGCUGGGGGGCUGGCCACCCAGGCACCGAGACCAUAGGGCGCUCCUCGCUACCUCCCCAGUGGUGAAUACUACUUCAAGAGAACGGGGAACGUAACUCGGUGAAUAACACGUGCCAAUGCCCGGCCCCUCGCUAGUCCUCCAGAAAUACCCGCCAGCCAGCCAGUCACCCGGACAGACAAAGGCGCGCAUCUCUUUAUGUCAUAGGCUGGCUUUGAGGACGAUUGGGAAAGAAAAUAUUACAUAAACCCUGGGGUGAGCAAGGAUCUACCAGCGCCCUCGCCACCAGGCCAGUGAGGUCAUCCUGAGCUGAAGGAUUCUUCGGUUGAGAACUGCCAAAGUUCUUCUGGGACCUGGUGUGUCCAUAGUGUGGGAAGCCAUGUCCCCCAUGUGCCCAGUGCCUCCCCCAAAUUGGAUUUCAACACUUCCCUGGAAAACAAGCUGAAAAAGAAAAACAUAAGGCAUUUCUCCUACUUCCUUUAAAGAAUUCACUUCAGAAUGAAUUCCAUAAGCAGCACCUGACAGCCUGAUAGAAAGAGACCAGUCUUCACUGGAGGGGCUAAUCCUGCCUUUUGCCAAGACAGAUGAAGGAUGGUGGCUUUUUAGGCCCUUUUUCAACCUGUAUUUAAGUAAUUAAUUAUAUGUGUCAGGCACCAGGCUAUGCAUGGGGUGUAAAUCAGCAAGACUAGGCUUCCAGGUAAGUGAAUUUGUUGUGAAUGCCUUUUUAUAUCCAGGUCUUGAAGGGUGAAUAAACAUCCAGCAUGUGAUCUGGAAACCCACCAUUUGUCAGCCUACUCAUUUCUUACUCUAGGCUUAGGAGGGAGCGCCCAACACAGCCUGAUCCUGGUGGUACCCUGGAGUCUAGCACUGCACCUGCAUCCCAAGCAGAACCAGUCAGAAUCCUUCCCCAAGACUGACGUCAGACUCAGGAGACAGGCCUCCCUUACAUGGCCAAGCCUUUGGAGCUGGGACGUCACAGGUCUAGCGCUGUGAAAAGCCACUUUCCCCAGCUCCAUGGGGUGGGGUGCGGUCUGAUAAAGUGGGUGAGAAUAUGGCCGGUCUAGCUGGAGAGGCCAAGCAACUUCCCUGAACCCUGGUCUCUGCCUGAAGCCAGGACCAGCCCCACACUUGUCCCAGCUACACAGGACAAUGAUGUCAGUCUAUUUUCUGCUAGUUGAGCUGGUUUCCUGGCACUUGCACGGGGAGUCCUUUGUCCUGCAUGUCCUGUAUGAGGAUGAAAGCAGGAGGGGUGGAGGAGAUGGAGAGAGGAAGUGGGAUGGGCUUGGAGACUUCUCUUGCUGCCAACUGCUGCAAAAGCUCAAAAACUCUGCUCAACAGAGAGAGCAACUGGAGAAAGAUGGAGGGGACCAGCCAGGAUCCCCAAGGGGCUGUCCGCAAAUGAUAGCCCUGGUCCCAAGGGGAAGUCCAGGACACAGAGGUGGGACUCAUUGGCAGGGAUGCCUGGAGGAAAUGACCUGGGACAGGUGUUGUGGAAGACCUGUCUUCUUCCCCUUCUUAUUCUUGGAGAGCUGCCAAGGAAACUCUGGGUGUUUAUCUUGAUAAGAAAAAAAGAAACAGGGGCACCUGGGUGGCUCAGUCAGUUAAGUGUCUGCCUUUGGCUCAGGUAAUG
Molecule: long non-coding RNA, 1804 nt
Organism: Mustela erminea (ermine)
Lineage: Eukaryota; Metazoa; Chordata; Mammalia; Carnivora; Mustelidae
Exons: 3
Source: RefSeq, a predicted model, not a curated record